CGAGUUUGAUCCUGGCUCAGAAUGAACGCUGGCGGCGUGCCUAACACAUGCAAGUCGGAUGUGCCCGCAAGGGUGCAUGGCAGACGGGUGAGUAACGCGUGGGGAAUCUACCUCUUUGUGGGGAAUAACGCUCCGAAAGGAGUGGUAAUACCGCAUGAGACCAAUGGCUGGAAUGCUGUUGGUGAAACCUGGGGACCGCAAGGCCUGGGGCAAGGAGAGGAUCCUGCGUCUGAUUAGCUAGUUGGCGGGGUAACGGCCCACCAAGGCGACGAUCAGUAGCCGGCCUGAGAGGGUGAUCGGCCACACUGGAACUGAGACACGGUCCAGACUCCUACGGGAGGCAGCAGUGGGGAAUUUUGCGCAAUGGGCGAAAGCCUGACGCAGCAACGCCGCGUGGGUGAUGAAGGUCUUCGGAUCGUAAAACCCUGUCGUCGGGGACGAAGGUAGCUUAGUUAACAGCUGAGUUGCUUGACGGUACCCGGAGAGGAAGCCCCGGCUAACUCUGUG
Molecule: ribosomal RNA, 507 nt
Filed under: uncultured bacterium
Lineage: Bacteria
Description: bacterial SSU rRNA
Rfam family: Bacterial small subunit ribosomal RNA
Source: RNAcentral